Cherax quadricarinatus is the source of this 2772-nucleotide non-coding RNA. The record is from RefSeq and is a predicted model, not a curated record. NCBI's taxonomy places the organism in Eukaryota, Metazoa, Arthropoda, Malacostraca, Decapoda, Parastacidae.
UGGAGUGUGAAGGCCGGGGUGUAGCUUGCUGCAGUGGCUUAGUCAGCGCAGAGCCACGGGUGUGUGUUGCUGCUGCUGCUGCUCAAGUGAACCCACCCCUCUCCCCACAUCCCUAAAACUUGUUUGUGGGAACUUCGUCAUCAGACUAACCUCUCCCCCCUAGUGUUUUAUGCGUCUUACACGAGGAAUAUUUGCUUGUGUUCGUGAAUGUCUGAGAGGCUAGUCCUCAGUGUUUUCCGUAAAUAUUUGGUUCAAAACUUUGAAAGCGUGUUAAAACCUAUUGUUGUCAGGUUUUUAAAUGACAGCUAAGUGGAGAGGGGUAAGAACAGAAACCAUAGUGGGUUUCUGUAAGCCCUUUAAUAACGUAAUAACUUUUCAUUACCAAGACAUGGGUCCAGUCAUAGCUACAAGGAUCAUUAACGACUAGGAAAGUUCUUCACUGUCGUUCAUUCAGGGCUCUGUGUCUUGAAGACAGUCUCACUGGCACAGAAGUGAUCAGAAACCCUGAGAACAGAGCCCGCUGUAGUGAUCUGAAAUUAGUAACCAGUGAAGUGUACUUGAGAACAAAAAGAAAAGAGUUACAGCCGGUAUAGAGGUGGCAAAUAAUACAAGACACGUAAUAGGAACAAGAACAAAUCUUACUUUAAAAGUUGUGCAUAGUUACGGCAAUAGGCAUUCAUACGGUUGUUGCUGUUGCUGCUGUGGCAGCUGUUACUACUACUGCUACUUGUAAAUCAGAGUGCACACCGUAGCAGCCAUGCUAACGGUCGCCUUCGUUAUUGAACCGAUGCAGAAGGAGUCUGUCAUCGAGAGGGAGAUCCGCCUAGCCAGGGAACGAGAGGAAGCCUACAGGAGGGAGAAGGGCCUCACAGCUUCUAUCAACAGCUCGACUAGUCGUUCCUCUAGCCAGACUACGUUGGCACGGACGCCCCCUGUGGUCAACAAUGAUGGCCGGGAUGUCCAGCACCGUUUGGCUACCAAUAGGAUUCAGUUGGAGAUUCAAGAAACAAGCAUGAAGGAGAUGGAGCUUAGAGAUGCUGGAAAGAUCCUGACAAUGUCAGAGGACACAGUUGAUGCUAAAGUGACCCGCAUGUCAGAUUUUACUGACCAGAGCCAGAACGAGAGCCCACGGACACGUCCUGCUCCUUCCCGACUAAGCAACUUCAGCACACCUUCAUCUACCCCGAAACGUAGUCUGUCACCCCGCAGUCCGUCUUCUCCAAUUCCCAACUUUACCCCUUCCCCUGCAUUAACCAGAGGGCUCUCCAGGAGUCUAUCCACCAACAACCUGGCUAGUACUGGUACUUCAUCCCUCACCAACCCACGAGCACCCAAGGGACUCAUGCAGAAGUUUAUAGCUUCUCGGGGCAAGAUGACUGGCUCUGCAUUUGCAUCGCCUCCCCUUACCCACACCACAUCCACAUCCCGGGGCAUCCCCACCAGACCUAUGAGGGUCGAGCCAAAGGCAGCAGUUAUACAGCGUGAAACUUUGGCUAGAAUGAAACCACAACCAGUGGACAGUAACAUAAUUCAGGAUAACACGUCACAGUCUCAAAAACCGACCAAUCACAUUCAGCAACAGUAUCGUCGCUCAUACUGCACAGCAGAAGAAAAGAUACAGUCGGAGCUAAAGGAAAUGCAAAUGCGAGAAGAGGAAUUAAGGCAGCUACGUGCCUGCCAGAUGGCUCAGUCACAACCAAAUCUAAUGGAUUUGGAUGCUGAGGAAGAUGAACAUGAGGAAGUGGAAAGUAAUCACAGUUAUCAAGAGAUGAAUGGCCUCCGUACCACCUACUCAAACCCUAACCUCCUUGAUGAUGAGCCAACACAAACACAGCCAUCAUCACCGGAAAAGAUUGUUUGGGUUUAAGCAGGUCAUGGAUAAAGGGAUGAGGCGACGUAGUGCCUUAAUUGCUCAAUGGGAAAAUCUCAUCCAGCAGACCACUGACACCUGAGCCUGCAUUCUUGAAGCAUUUGGUGCUUGUGAGAGCAAGUUAUGCCAUAUGCCAACAGCAGGCCAGAUAGUCCUUGGCAGCCAUAAGGGUCACCAUCUUGCAGCUCUACAUAGAUAUUUUAUUCCUAUAUUAACCAUGCCAGAAAGGCCGCAGUUAGCUGUUUCCCUUGUCCAUUAGUGUAUUUUGGUAUUAGUAUGAUUUAUUUGCUGCCAGGAUAAUAAAUUCUUCAAGAACAAACUUUGUCUGGCUGCUGCUGUGGUCAUUCUUGUGAUUAUAGUGUGAUAUAGUAAUGCUAAUACACUUAAGUAUAGUUAUUAAAUAAUAUAUAAUUAUCAUGGCUAGGGUAGUGGAGAAAGUUCACUUGAUGUAUUCUAAAUAAUCUUAUUGACACGAACAGAUCCCUCCCUCAUUCUUCACUUUUAUGAAGGACACUAUACACAGUUUAUAGUUACUGUGCUUCCUAUAAUGCUGUAAUUAUUGUAUGCAUAAUUUAGCAUGUGUGUGCUUCCUAGUUGUGGAUGUUGUCUGCAAGCAGAAUAAUUUAUGUGACAGGAGAUUGGGGCCUCUUAGUCUUCAUGUAUAUAUGUAGAUUAUGCAAUGUUUUUAUUUAGUACUUAAAUCCUACAAGAGCAUAUGAAUUAUGCUAUUGCAGCUGCAUAUUUGUAUUGUUAAUUAAUAAUCCUUUGUAUGUUAUUUUAGGAAUAACGUAUGAGUAAGGUUAAUAUUGUAUGUACCCUUUGGCAAGUCUGCAGGCAAUGUGUCAAGCAGCAGCCUUUAGCCCAAGUGUAUCAUGUUGCACAAAUAAAAGCUUAUAAUAAAA